This 336-nucleotide ribosomal RNA is filed under the name uncultured bacterium. RNAcentral's name for it is "bacterial SSU rRNA". It matches the Rfam family "Bacterial small subunit ribosomal RNA", at positions 72 to 422 of the family's 1533-position model. The record is from RNAcentral.
AAGUGGAGCAAUCCAUGAGUAAAGUGGCGACCGGGUGAGUAACACGUGACUAACCUACCCUCGAGUGUGGAAUAACAUCGGGAAACCGAUGCUAAUACCGCAUAACAUCGCAAGAUCAAAGGAGCAAUCCGCUUGAGGAGGGGGUCGCGGCUGAUUAGCUAGUUGGCGGGGUAACGGCCCACCAAGGCGAAGAUCGGUAGCCGGCCUGAGAGGGCGCACGGCCACACUGGAACUGAAACACGGUCCAGACUCCUACGGGAGGCAGCAGUGGGGAAUUUUGCACAAUGCCCGAAAGGGUGAUGCAGCAACGCCGCGUGAGGGAUGAAGGCCUUCGGG